UGUGUGUGUGUGUGUGUGUGUGUGUGUGUGUGUGUGAGUGUGAGUGAGUGAGUGAGAGAUAUAUAUACACACACACACACACACACACAUAUACAUA
Molecule: non-coding RNA, 97 nt
Organism: Pelobates cultripes (western spadefoot toad)
Lineage: Eukaryota; Metazoa; Chordata; Amphibia; Anura; Pelobatidae
Source: the annotation of a GenBank genome assembly